RNAcentral lists this ribosomal RNA (402 nucleotides) under uncultured bacterium. Its description in RNAcentral is "partial 16S ribosomal RNA". It matches the Rfam family "Bacterial small subunit ribosomal RNA", at positions 360 to 776 of the family's 1533-position model. The record is from RNAcentral.
AAUAUUGGGCAAUGGGGGAAACCCUGACCCAGCAACGCCGCGUGAAGGAUGAAGGNUUNNGGGUUNUNAACUUCUUUGAUCAGNNNNNAAACAAAUGACGGUACCUGAAGAACAAGCCGCGGAUAACUACGUGCCAGCAGCCGCGGUAAUACGUAGGUGGCAAGCGUUAUCCGGAUUUACUGGGUGUAAAGGGCGUGUAGGCGGUUCUGCAAGUCGGGUGUGAAAUUUCCGGGCUUAACCCGGACGGGUCACCCGAAACUGCGGAACUUGAGUACUGGAGAGGAUAGUGGAAUUCCUAGUGUAGCGGUAAAAUGCGUAGAUAUUAGGAGGAACACCAGUGGCGAAGGCGGCUAUCUGGACAGUAACUGACGCUGAGGCGCGAAAGCGUGGGGAGCAAACAGG